Molecule: ribosomal RNA, 336 nt
Filed under: Strombidinopsis acuminata
Lineage: Eukaryota; Ciliophora; Spirotrichea; Choreotrichida; Strombidinopsidae
Description: partial Bacterial large subunit ribosomal RNA
Rfam family: Bacterial large subunit ribosomal RNA
Source: RNAcentral
UUGAAGAUGCGGUAACACGCAUUGGAGGACCGAACCGACUACCGUUGAAAAGUUAGCGGAUGACCUGUGGAUCGGAGUGAAAGGCUAAUCAAGCCCGGAGAUAGCUGGUUCUCCUCGAAAUCUAUUUAGGUAGAGCCUCUCAUAUUACCAUCGGGGGUAGAGCACUGUUUGGGCUAGGGGGUCACCUAGACUUACCAACCCCAUGCAAACUCCGAAUACCCAGGAGUACAAUCACGGCAGACAGACAGCGGGUGCUAACGUCCGUUGUCAAGAGGGAAACAACCCAGACCGCCAGCUAAGGUCCCAAAAUAUUGCUAAGUGGGAAACGAUGUGGGA